This 77-nucleotide transfer RNA is filed under the name Bartonella vinsonii subsp. berkhoffii. RNAcentral's name for it is "tRNA-Ile". It matches the Rfam family "tRNA". From Rfam's summary of the family: Transfer RNA (tRNA) molecules are approximately 80 nucleotides in length. The record is from RNAcentral. Lineage: Bacteria; Pseudomonadati; Pseudomonadota; Alphaproteobacteria; Hyphomicrobiales; Bartonellaceae.
AGGGCUUGUAGCUCAGUUGGUUAGAGCGCGCGCUUGAUAAGCGUGAGGUCGGAGGUUCAAGUCCUCCCAGGCCCACC